GCAAAGUUGUGUAGUGCGAUCGGUGGAUGCCUUGGCACCAAGAGCCGAUGAAGGACGUUGUGACCUGCGAUAAGCCCUGGGGAGUUGGUGAGCGAGCUGUGAUCCGGGGGUGUCCGAAUGGGGAAACCUGGAAUGUCCGGAGUAGUGUCCGGUGGCCCUGCCCUGAAUGUAUAGGGGUGUGGGUGGUAACGCGGGGAAGUGAAACAUCUUAGUACCCGUAGGAAGAGAAAACAAGUGUGAUUCCGUGAGUAGUGGCGAGCGAAAGCGGAGGAGGCUAAACCGUGUGUGUGUUCAAGCCGGCAGGUGUUGCAUGUGCGGGGUUGUGGGGGCCUUGUGGUUCUGCUGCCGCAGGAUUGGCCAGUGAGAAAUGUUGCGUGAAGGUGAAGCGUCUGGGAAGGCGUACCGGAGUGGGUGAGAGUCCUGUAACUGUAAGCGUGGCACUGGUGUGGGGUUGCCCCGAGUAGCGUGGGACUCGUGGAAUUUCGCGUGAAUCUGGCGGGACCACCCGUCAAGCCUAAAUACUCCUUGGUGACCGAUAGUGGAUGAGUACCGUGAGGGAAGGGUGAAAAGUACCCCGGGAGGGGAGUGAAAGAGUUCCUGAAACCGGUCGCAUGCAAGCCGUCAGAGCCUGUGUGGUGAUGGCGUGCCUUUUGAAGAAUGAGCCUGCGAGUUAGUGAUGCGUGGCGAGGUUAACCCGUGGUGGGGGAGUCGUAGCGAAAGCGAGUCCGAUAAGGGCGUGAGUCGCGUGUUCUAGACCCGAAGCGGUGUGAUCUAUCCAUGGCCAGGAUGAAGCGUCGGUAAGACGUCGUGGAGGUCCGAACCCACUUCAGUUGAAAAUGGAGGGGAUGAGUUGUGGAUAGGGGUGAAAGGCCAAUCAAACACCGUGAUAGCUGGUUCUCCCCGAAAUGCAUUUAGGUGCAGCGUUGCGUGGUUCUUGUUGGAGGUAGAGCACUGGAUGGUCUAGGGGGCUUAUCGGCUUACCGAAAUCAGCCAAACUCCGAAUGCUGGCAAGUGUAGCGUGGCAGUGAGACGGCGGGGGAUAAGCUUCGUCGUCGAGAGGGAAACAGCCCAGAUCAUCAGCUAAGGCCCCUAAGUGGUGACUCAGUGGGAAAGGAUGUGGAGUUGCGUAGACAACCAGGAGGUUGGCUUGGAAGCAGCCAUCCUUGAAAGAGUGCGUAAUAGCUCACUGGUCAAGUGAUUCCGCGCCGAUAAUGUAGCGGGGCUUAAGUUAUCCGCCGAAGCUGUGGCAACCUGUGUGGUUGGGUAGGGGAGCGUCGUGUCAGUGGUGAAGCUGCCGGGUGACUGUGUGGUGGAGUUGAUGCGAGUGAGAAUGCAGGCAUGAGUAGCGUGUGACGGGUGGGAAUCCCGUCCGCCGAUUAUCCAAGGGUUCCAGGGUCAAGUUUGUCUGCCCUGGGUGAGUCGGGUCCUAAGGCGAGGCCGACAGGCGUAGUCGAUGGGUAACCAGUUGAUAUUCUGGUACCGGCUUGUCACCGUCCGUGUCGAGGUGUGUGAUGCUAAGCAUGUGAGCUUGUCUUGGGAGUGUUUUUGAUGCUUCUGGGGUGGGUGAGUGUGUGAACCGAUCAUGUAGUAGGCAAGCUGCGGAGGGACGCAGUGAGGUAGCUCAUCCCCGGUGAUGGUUGUCCGGGGCUAAGUGUGUGGACUGUCUGGUAGGUAAAUCCGCUGGGCGUGAAGGUUGAGGCAUGAUGGGGAGCCCAUGGUUGUGGGUGAGUGAGUGAUCCUGUACUGUCGAGAAAAGCUUCGUGAGCGAGGUGGCGGGUCCGCCCGUACCCUAAACCGACACUGGUGGAUAGGUAGAGUAUACCGAGGCGAUCGAGUGAAUCGUGGUGAAGGAACUCGGCAAAAUGCCCCCGUAACUUUGGGAUAAGGGGGACCUGAGCUGUCGUGCACCCGUGCGGUGUGGUGGCGGUGAGGGGCGCAGAGUCCAGGGGGAAACGACUGUUUACCAAAAACACAGGUCCGUGCGAAGUCGUAAGACGAUGUAUACGGACUGACUCCUGCCCGGUGCUGGAAGGUUAAGGGGAACUGUGAGUGUAUGCGUAGCGGUGAACUUAAGCCCCAGUAAACGGCGGUGGUAACUAUAACCAUCCUAAGGUAGCGAAAUUCCUUGUCGGGUAAGUUCCGACCUGCACGAAUGGAGUAACGAUUUCCCUACUGUCUCCACCAUGAACUCGGUGAAAUUGCAUUACGAGUAAAGAUGCUCGUUACGCGCAGCAGGACGGAGAGACCCCGGGACCUUUACUAUAGUUUGGUAUUGGUGAUUGGGACGGUUUGUGUAGGAUAGGUGGGAGACGUUGAUGCGGCCACGCUAGUGGUGGUGGAGUCGUUGGUGAAAUACCACUCUGAUUGUUCUGGUUAUCUCACUGUGGACCGUGAUCCGGUUCAAGGACAGUGCCUGAUGGGUAGUUUGACUGGGGCGGUCGCCUCCUAAAGGGUAACGGAGGCGCCCAAAGGUUCCCUCAGCCUGGUUGGUAAU
This 2494-nucleotide ribosomal RNA is filed under the name Cutibacterium acnes. RNAcentral describes it as "partial 23S ribosomal RNA". It matches the Rfam family "Bacterial large subunit ribosomal RNA", at positions 1 to 2338 of the family's 2925-position model. Lineage: Bacteria; Bacillati; Actinomycetota; Actinomycetes; Propionibacteriales; Propionibacteriaceae. The record is from RNAcentral.